ACUCCUACGGGAGGCAGCAGUAGGGAAUCUUCCGCAAUGGGCGAAAGCCUGACGGAGCAACGCCGCGUGAGUGAUGAAGGUCUUCGGAUCGUAAAACUCUGUUAUUAGGGAAGAACAAAUNUGUAAGUAAACUAUGCACGNCUUGACGGUACCUAAUCAGAAAGCCAACGGCUAACUACGUGCCAGCAGCCGCGGUAAUACGUAGGUGGCAAAGCGUUAUCCGGAAUUAUUGGGCGUAAAGCGCGCGUAGGCGGUUUUUUAAGUCUGAUGUG
RNAcentral lists this ribosomal RNA (272 nucleotides) under uncultured bacterium. Its description in RNAcentral is "partial 16S ribosomal RNA". It matches the Rfam family "Bacterial small subunit ribosomal RNA", at positions 335 to 596 of the family's 1533-position model. The record is from RNAcentral.